RNAcentral lists this long non-coding RNA (1648 nucleotides) under Theobroma cacao (cacao). RNAcentral describes it as "long non-coding RNA (TCAC_LNC000804)". Lineage: Eukaryota; Viridiplantae; Streptophyta; Magnoliopsida; Malvales; Malvaceae. The record is from RNAcentral.
UUCUUCUUCCUCCUUCCAUCUUAUGUUUCUCUCCUCUUCCAUGAAAGCUUCUCUCAAGCUUCCAACACUCUCUCAAACUAACCUUAAUUUUCAUGCUUUACACACCCUGUUAUAGGAUUUUUCAUACUCUGUUACUCCUUCACUUUAAACAAACCCUUAAAAGUCUUUCUUCAAUACUUUCUCUCACCAGCUGAACUUUGUAGAGAGAGAAAGGGAGGUUUCAUGUUAGCUUGAGGACUCUUGGAAAGAAAUUUCAUUACAAUCACCAAGGUGAGUGAUGAAUUAGGACUGAUUUUAAGUUGUUGAUGAUGGCUAGUAAUUAGAAUUAUGAGUUGUGUUAUUUACCGAAAUUGUUUAUCUAUUUCUAGUGUUACUAAAGUAGAGAAACGAAAUAGUCAAUCAAAUGGUAAUUGGAAGAUAGAUAGGAAGAGCUAUUGAAGCUUGAUUUGGGAAACAACUUUUGGAGUGAUAUUAAUGUAAAUUGGAUUGGCUGUGAUGUUUUCGUCCGUGAUAGGUUCCAACAAGGCCCCUCAGCCCCAUUUGGACCAUUAGGGAGGUUAGAGUAGAUUAAAGGUUCAACAAAUAUCAGUGAGUGAACUUGUAUUAAAAGGUUUUGGGAUAUACACAUAUAUGUUUGAUUGAAUCCCCUAAAACGUUUUACUUGGGGUGAGUGUGCACUUGCCGGUGAUGACGGUGGUGAGGGAGAUGGAUGGUGAUACUACCCGUGUGCACGAUGUGGGGGGAUGCACACGAUGGCAUUAACUGUGCACGAUGUAGAGGGAUGCACAUGAGCUGGGUGAGAUAGGGUGUUCUGCUAUGUGCAAGAUGUGAGGGGAUGCACAUGAGCUGGGUGAGAUGGGGUGUCCGGCUAUGUGCACGAUGUGGGGGGAUGCAAAUGAGCUAGGUGAGAUGGGGUGUCCGGCUAUGUGCACAAUGUGGGGGAAUGCACAUAAGCUGGGUGAGAUAGGCACGAUGUGGGGGAAUGGACAUGAGCUGGGUUAGAUGUGGUUGUAUACGAAUUGGUAUAUGCUUAAGUAUAUGUAUAUGCAAUAAAAAGAUCAUGAUUAUAAUAUGUGAUUGUAUGGUAUGAUGAAUCUUGAAAAUUUCUCAUUAACUUGCAAAUUGAUUUUAUUGCAGCGAGAAACAUGCUAUUUAUGAUGCCUUGCUUGGAUGAUUGCUGAAAAUUUCCUCUCUUUCCAAUUUCACGCCGAACAUGGUUCCUUCAUCAUUAAAUGAUUUUACAACCAAGGGUUAAAUGGAAGGAUUUUAAUAAGAACUUGAACUAAUUUGCAUUGUUUUCAAAUAAGUGCAUCAUGAUUAUCAACUUUCCUUAUCGUUACUUGUUCCCUUCCUAUGUUCACUCACUUGGUUUAUACUCACGUUUUUAAACUUCAUGUUUUAGGUUCUUUGAGUUAAAGGUGACUAAAUCUUAGGACAAGGUGCUCCUCCCUAUCCAUUACUCAGUAGGUUUGUCAUGAUACUAAGUGUUAGCACCCACGCCCAAAGUCACUCUGCUAACGGUCAGAGUCUUUGAAUGUGCAUAUGUAAACUGGAUGUAACUUGCUAAGAAUCGUUUGGUAAACUAUUUAUGUAUAUUCUAAUUAAUGAAUACCAUUAUAAGUAUAUACUUGGAUUUUAUGAAUUGAUU